This 417-nucleotide long non-coding RNA is filed under the name Paramuricea clavata. The record is from RNAcentral. Lineage: Eukaryota; Metazoa; Cnidaria; Anthozoa; Malacalcyonacea; Plexauridae.
UUUAAGGCCAAGGUUGGAAAAAAAUAGUAAAAAGCUAAAAAUUGUUAGAUGCAAUAAUUUAACUAUCCUGAACAAUAUACUAAAAGUCCCCAUGUAUCCUCUUGGAGCUUUUUCCAUUAUGACAAGGUUUUUUUCGACUUCCCUAUUACCCCCAUAUUGUUAAAAAACGUGAAAUUUCAAGUUCACUCAUAACAAAAAUGACUCGCAUCACUAGAAAGCUCAUAAAAACUACAUAUAAGACAUUUAAACAGUCACCUAAAUUUUUCAAGCGGUUUUCGAGUUAUUGCUGUUCCAAAUGUGGCAAAUAGGCCGAAAUCUGGCAAAAAUCCUGGGUACUAGUCUGACAACACGUUUCCAACGGCUCAUAACUCAAGAAGAACUUGCAAAAUCAAGGUAGCCGUUUAAAUGUCUUAUAUG